This 745-nucleotide ribosomal RNA is filed under the name Brochothrix thermosphacta. RNAcentral describes it as "bacterial SSU rRNA". It matches the Rfam family "Bacterial small subunit ribosomal RNA", at positions 374 to 1109 of the family's 1533-position model. Lineage: Bacteria; Bacillati; Bacillota; Bacilli; Caryophanales; Listeriaceae. The record is from RNAcentral.
GAGGAGAAGUCUGACCGAGCACGCCGCGUGAGCGAAGAGGGCCUUCGGGUCGUAAGGCUCUGUUGUUAGAGAAGAACAUGGGUGAGAGUAACUGUUCACCCCUUGACGGUAUCUAACCAGAAAGCCACGGCUAAGUACGUGCCAUCAGCCGCGGUAAUACGUAGGUGGCAAGCGUUGUCCGGAAUUAUUGGGCGUAAAGCGCGCGCAGGCGGUCUCUUAGGCUGAUGUGAAAGCCCCCGGCUCAACCGGGGAGGGUCGUUGGAAACUGGGAGACUUGAGGACAGAAGAGGAGAGUGGAAUUCCAAGUGGAGGGGUGAAAUGCGUAGAUAUUUGGAGGAACACCAGUGGCGAAGGCGGCUCUCUGGUCUGUUACUGACGCUGAGGCGCGAAAGCGUGGGGAGCAAACAGGAUUAGAUACCCUGGUAGUCCACGCCGUAAACGAUGAGUGCUAAGUGUUAGGGGGUUUCCGCCCCUUAGUGCUGCAGUUAACGCAUUGGGCACUCCGCCUGGGGAGUACGACCGCAAGGUUGAAACUCAAAGGAAUUGACGGGGGCCCGCACAGAUGGGUGGAGCAUGUGGUUUAAUUCGAAGCAACGCGAAGAACCUUACCAAGUCUUGACAUCCUUUGACCAUUCUGGAGACAGAACUUUCCCUUCGGGGACAAAGUGACAGGUGGUGCAUGGUUGUCGUCAGCUCGUGUCUGUGAGAUGUUGGGUUAAGUCCCGCAACGAGCGCAACCCUUGAU